UGAACAACGAGAGCUUUGUGGAAUUCGACCCUAAAGUGCUACACACGAUCUCUUUAUUUGAGAGAGUAGUCUUAGGUUAAUUUGACUCGUAUCAAAUAUAAAUCUACAAUAUUUAAAAAUGUAACUCAUCCAAAAAUAUGAUGAUCACAACAAAAUAUAAAUCAGAACUACUACCAAAAAUAUAUAUAUAUAUAUAUAUAUAUAUAUAUAUAUAUAUAUAUAUAUAUAUAUAUAAAUCAGAACUUUGUAUAUUUUUUCUUCCGAAUAACUAUUUAUACUACUUGCUAAUCAUUGCGGGAUAACAAAAAGUUGGACUUCUGCAUCACCACAAACUGCCACUCCUUUGGAAGCAGAAACCCGUUGUCUUUUGGCGGCUCUUCAGCACACUUGGGCAAGCGGAUAUUCAAGAGUUAUUUUCGAGGGUGAUUGUGAAGUCCUUAUUAAUAACUUAACGGGUAAUGAAGCAGCUCAUGUGCUUGCCAGAUUUGGAUGUAAUACUUGUAAUUUUUAUUCAGCUACUAUGAACCCACCACCAUGGUUGGAACAAAAACUCUGUACUGAUUAUCAAAGUUCAAUAUAAAUUAAUUUCGACGAAACAAAAAAAAACUACUUGCUAAUCAUCCGGUAUUUGGUCUACCUGAUACAAAUGUUUUCCUUGUUUAUGCGAAUAGCCUUCAACAUUACUUGAAAGGAAUCAUAAGAAAAAAAAAAAAAAACAAUUUCUUUCAAAACAUGAACGGAUUAACAAAAAUGAAAUUUUCAAUAGCUUCCGGAUGCAAAUUGGAGAAAAAGGGCUGAUUUUGUUUUGAGAUUUCCAGCUUCUCAAGCUCACCUGUCACCAAUGUAAUUAUUUUCACAACUUUUGUAUAAAUUUUAGAUUUUGAUUUUGGUCACUACUUUCCUUGA
This 906-nucleotide long non-coding RNA is filed under the name Arabidopsis lyrata. RNAcentral's name for it is "long non-coding RNA (ALYR_LNC000457)". The record is from RNAcentral. Lineage: Eukaryota; Viridiplantae; Streptophyta; Magnoliopsida; Brassicales; Brassicaceae.